UACGAAGGGGGCGAGCGUUGUUCGGAUUUACUGGGCGUAAAGGGCGCGCAGGCGGCUCAUUUUGUCAGGCGUGAAAGCCCCGGGCUUAACCUGGGAACUGCGUUUGAUACGGAUGGGCUAGAGUUCGGGAGAGGGGAGUGGAAUUCCCAGUGUAGAGGUGAAAUUCGUAGAUAUUGGGAAGAACACCGGUGGCGAAGGCGGCUCUCUGGACCGAGACUGACGCUGAGGCGCGAAAGCGUGGGGAGCAAACAGG
Molecule: ribosomal RNA, 253 nt
Filed under: uncultured bacterium
Lineage: Bacteria
Description: partial 16S ribosomal RNA
Rfam family: Bacterial small subunit ribosomal RNA
Source: RNAcentral